Molecule: microRNA, 22 nt
Filed under: Drosophila ananassae
Lineage: Eukaryota; Metazoa; Arthropoda; Insecta; Diptera; Drosophilidae
Also listed under: 3 other names
Description: Dan-Mir-315_3p* (star (passenger))
Source: RNAcentral
CUUUCGAGCAAUAAUUGAAACC